CCUACGGGAGGCAGCAGUGGGGAAUUUUGGACAAUGGGGGCAACCCUGAUCCAGCCAUGCCGCGUGAGUGAAGAAGGCCUUCGGGUUGUAAAGCUCUUUCGGCCGGGAAGAAAUCGCAUGGGUUAAUACCCUGUGCGGAUGACGGUACCGGCAUAAGAAGCACCGGCUAACUACGUGCCAGCAGCCGCGGUAAUACGUAGGGUGCGAGCGUUAAUCGGAAUUACUGGGCGUAAAGCGUGCGCAGGCGGUUUUGUAAGACAGGCGUGAAAUCCCCGGGCUCAACCUGGGAACUGCGCUUGUGACUGCAAGGCUAGAGUAUGGCAGAGGGGGGUGGAAUUCCACGUGUAGCAGUGAAAUGCGUAGAGAUGUGGAGGAACACCAAUGGCGAAGGCAGCCCCCUGGGCCAAUACUGACGCUCAUGCACGAAAGCGUGGGUAGCAAACAGGAUUAGAUACCCUGGUAGUCCACGCCCUAAACGAUGUCAACUAGGUGUUGGGUGGGUAAAACCAUUUAGUACCGGAGCUAACGCGUGAAGUUGACCGCCUGGGGAGUACGGCCGCAAGGUUAAAACUCAAAGGAAUUGACGG
RNAcentral lists this ribosomal RNA (587 nucleotides) under uncultured bacterium. Its description in RNAcentral is "bacterial SSU rRNA". It matches the Rfam family "Bacterial small subunit ribosomal RNA", at positions 338 to 916 of the family's 1533-position model. The record is from RNAcentral.